AGAGUUUGAUCCUGGCUCAGAACGAACGUUGGCGGCGUGGAUUAGGCAUGCAAGUCGAACGAGAACCCUUAGGCAACUGAGGGGGAAAGUGGCGAAAGGGGCAGUAAUGUAUGGGUAACCUACCCCGGGGACCGGGAUAGCCUUCCUAACGGAUGGGUAAUACCGGGCGAUCUGGCGAGGACGCAUGUUCUUGCCAGGAAAUGAGUUUCGCCUCGGGAGGGGCUCAUAUAGUAUUAGCUAGUUGGUGAGGUAACGGCUCACCAAGGCUCAGAUGCUUAGCGGGUGUGAGAGCACGACCCGCGCCACUGGCACUGAGACACUGGCCAGACUCCUACGGGAGGCUGCAGUCGAGGAUCUUCGGCAAUGGGCGCAAGCCUGACCGAGCGACGCCGCGUGUGCGAUGAAGGCCUUCGGGUUGUAAAGCACUGUCGAGGGGGAGGAAAGCCGCAAGGUCUGACCUAUCCCUGGAGGAAGCACGGGCUAAGUUCGUGCCAGCAGCCGCGGUAAGACGAACCGUGCGAACGUUGUUCGGAAUCACUGGGCUUAAAGGGCGCGUAGGCGGUUGAUCAAGUCUGGGGUGAAAUCUUUCGGCUUAACCGGAAAAGUGCCUUGGAUACUGGUCAGCUGGAGGGAGGUAGGGGCAGUUGGAACUUCCAGUGGAGCGGUGAAAUGCGUUGAUAUUGGAAGGAACGCCGGUGGCGAAAGCGAGCUGCUGGACCUCUUCUGACGCUGAUGCGCGAAAGCUAGGGGAGCAAACGGGAUUAGAUACCCUAGUAGUCC
RNAcentral lists this ribosomal RNA (780 nucleotides) under uncultured bacterium. RNAcentral describes it as "bacterial SSU rRNA". It matches the Rfam family "Bacterial small subunit ribosomal RNA", at positions 8 to 796 of the family's 1533-position model. The record is from RNAcentral.